Molecule: ribosomal RNA, 428 nt
Filed under: uncultured Desulfotomaculum sp.
Lineage: Bacteria; Bacillati; Bacillota; Clostridia; Eubacteriales; Desulfotomaculaceae
Description: bacterial SSU rRNA
Rfam family: Bacterial small subunit ribosomal RNA
Source: RNAcentral
GAACCUUACCAGGGCUUGACAUCUUCUGACCGCUUAAGGAAACUUAAGCUUUCCGGAAGGUUUACUUUUCUGGACAGAAAGACAGGUGGUGCAUGGUUGUCGUCAGCUCGUGUCGUGAGAUGUUGGGUUAAGUCCCGCAACGAGCGCAACCCCUACGGUUAGUUGCUAACGGGUAAGGCCGAGCACUUUAGCCGAACUGCCGUUGACAAAACGGAGAAGCGGGGAUGACGUCAAAUCAUCAUGCCCUUUAUGUCCUGGGCUACACACGUGCUACAAUGGCCUGUACAAAGGGCAGCAAAGGGGCGACCCGGAGCAAAUCCCAAAAAACAGGUCUCAGUUCGGAUUGCAGGCUGCAACUCGCCUGCAUGAAGGCGGAAUCGCUAGUAAUCGCAGGUCAGCAUACUGCGGUGAAUACGUUCCCGGGCCUU